Molecule: small nucleolar RNA, 84 nt
Organism: Polyodon spathula (Mississippi paddlefish)
Lineage: Eukaryota; Metazoa; Chordata; Actinopteri; Acipenseriformes; Polyodontidae
Product: small nucleolar RNA SNORD11B
Exons: 1
Source: RefSeq, a predicted model, not a curated record
AAGCAGCGGUGAUGAUGAUGACAUAUUGUCAGUAUACUGAACAAAACAUGUGGGUUUUAAGUCACUACCUCAUCUGAGCUGCAA